Molecule: ribosomal RNA, 401 nt
Filed under: Castor fiber (Eurasian beaver)
Lineage: Eukaryota; Metazoa; Chordata; Mammalia; Rodentia; Castoridae
Description: partial small subunit ribosomal RNA
Source: RNAcentral
CACUAUGCUUAGCCGUAAACCCAAAUAUGUAAACCAACAAACAUAUUCGCCAGAGAACUACUAGCAACAGCUUAAAACUCAAAGGACUUGGCGGUGCUUUAUAUCCGUCUAGAGGAGCCUGUUCUAUAAUCGAUAAACCCCGAUUUACCUCACCAUYUCUUGCUAAGUCAGCCUAUAUACCGCCAUCUUCAGCAAACCCUAAUUAAGGCACUCUAAGUAAGCCAAAACAUACAACAUAAAAACGUUAGGUCAAGGUGUAGCCAAUGAGAUGGGAAGAAAUGGGCUACAUUUUCUUACCCCAAGAAAAUCAACGGAAACUCUUAUGAAAUCGAAGAGGAUAAGGAGGAUUUAGCAGUAAAUUGAACUUAGAAAGCUCAAUUGAACUGAGCAAUGAAGCACGC